RNAcentral lists this ribosomal RNA (429 nucleotides) under Fusobacteriota bacterium. RNAcentral describes it as "Fusobacteria bacterium partial 16S ribosomal RNA". It matches the Rfam family "Bacterial small subunit ribosomal RNA", at positions 355 to 776 of the family's 1533-position model. Lineage: Bacteria; Fusobacteriati; Fusobacteriota. The record is from RNAcentral.
UGGGGAAUAUUGCGCAAUGGGCGAAAGCCUGACGCAGCGACGCCGCGUGAGGGAUGAAGGUUUUCGGAUCGUAAACCUCUGUCAGAAGGGAAGAAACCGCACUGUGCUAAUCAGCAGUGCCUUGACGGUACCUUCAAAGGAAGCACCGGCUAACUCCGUGCCAGCAGCCGCGGUAAUACGGAGGGUGCAAGCGUUAAUCGGAAUUACUGGGCGUAAAGCGCACGUAGGCUGCUUUGUAAGUCAGGGGUGAAAUCCCACGGCUCAACCGUGGAACUGCCUUUGAUACUGCUUAGCUUGAAUCCGGGAGAGGGUGGCGGAAUUCCAGGUGUAGGAGUGAAAUCCGUGGAUAUCUGGAGGAACAUCAGUGGCGAAGGCGGCCACCUGGACCGGUAUUGACGCUGAGGUGCGAAAGCGUGGGGAGCAAACAGG